CUUUUUUUAUAGCUCUCAUCGUCUUACCUAUGUUUCAUCAAUGAUGCAUACAUACAUAAUGUGUGACAACAAUCAUUAUGAAAUGGUGGUCAGCAGCUAAUUCAUAUACAAGCAGGACAAAUUAAUGUAACAAAUUAUUUGAAGAAGGCAAAUCAUUUGUUUUUUUGAACUUGAUUAUGUUUGAAGAACAUAAAUCAUUUAUUUAUUUUUAACCUGACCUAUCUAAGAUGGUCUAUUCGGAUUGGUUUGCCUCAAAAUGGCCAUAAGUGUCUAAAGUUUACUUUCUAUACUGCUGAUUGUAUGAAUUUGUGGUUAUCUAUGACAGGGCGAGUACACCCAGGACCUUGAGAGCUCAUUGAGUACUCCAUAAUUCAGAGAUUGUGCUGCCAUGCUCUUUGGGUCACGAUGGCUGCUGCUAGUAUUGAAGUGGCUGUGGCAUCGGAUGCUUUGUUGGUGGGAAGGUUUUGGGUUGUUCAUGGGUAUGAGAUUAUCUAAUAGGAGGUGGAUCAAGUCAGUUAUUCUGUUAUCCAACUCUGCUAUGUUAGUUUCUUUUAUGCAAAAUAAAGAUUAAAUGUAGACCAUAUUUGCCAGUGUGUAAUAAUGUUCGUCACGGUGGAUAUUGGGGGCUCUAGCAUGCCAUAUGACCUGUUUUUGUGCCUUUUAUUGUCUGAGAUGAUUUGAAAUUCAAUUUCUGCGGAUAAUUAUUUGUGAGAAUGUUAAUUUUGAAGUCUUUUUACUUGUGUCA
Molecule: non-coding RNA, 745 nt
Organism: Camellia sinensis
Lineage: Eukaryota; Viridiplantae; Streptophyta; Magnoliopsida; Ericales; Theaceae
Source: RefSeq, a predicted model, not a curated record